Non-coding RNA from Gnomoniopsis smithogilvyi, 105 nucleotides. The record is from the annotation of a GenBank genome assembly. NCBI's taxonomy places the organism in Eukaryota, Fungi, Ascomycota, Sordariomycetes, Diaporthales, Gnomoniaceae.
GGCACUAUGGCGGAGUGGUUAUCGCGCUGGCCUGCUAGAUUUCUUCGAGAUUUAACAGUUAAGCCAGUUCCUUCGGGAGCCAGAGUUCGAAUCUCUGUGGUGUCG